GAACGGGUGAGUAAUGCGUCGGAACGUACCGAGUAAUGGGGGAUAACGCAGCGAAAGUUGUGCUAAUACCGCAUACGCCCUGAGGGGGAAAGUGGGGGACCUGCAAGGCCUCACGUUAUUCGAGCGGCCGACGUCUGAUUAGCUAGUUGGUGGGGUAAAGGCCUAACCAAGGCGACGAUCAGUAGCGGGUCUGAGAGGAUGAUCCUGCCACACUGGGACUGAGACACGGCCCAGACUCCUACGGGAGGCAGCAGUGGGGAAUUUUGGACAAUGGGGGCAACCCUGAUCCAGCCAUUCCGCGUGAGUGAAGAAGGCCUUCGGGUUGUAAAGCUCUUUCAGCAUGGAACGAAACGGCUACGCGCUAACAUGCGUGUGCUAAUGACGGUACCGGCAGAAGAAGCACCGGCUAACUACGUGCCAGCAGCCGCGGUAAUACGUAGGGUGCGAGCGUUAAUCGGAAUUACUGGGCGUAAAGCGUGCGCAGGCGGAUUGUUAAGCAAGAUGUGAAAUCCCCGGGCUUAACCUGGGAAUGGCAUUUUGAACUGGCAGUCUAGAGUGCGUCAGAGGGGGGUGGAAUUCCACGUGUAGCAGUGAAAUGCGUAGAGAUGUGGAGGAACACCGAUGGCGAAGGCAGCCCCCUGGGAUGACACUGACGCUCAUGUACGAAAGCGUGGGUAGCAAACAGGAUUAGAUACCCUGGUAGUCCACGCCCUAAACGAUGUCAACUGGUUGUUGGGGGAGUGAAAUCCCUUAGUAACGAAGCUAACGCGUGAAGUUGACCGCCU
This 785-nucleotide ribosomal RNA is filed under the name uncultured Thiobacillus sp. RNAcentral's name for it is "bacterial SSU rRNA". It matches the Rfam family "Bacterial small subunit ribosomal RNA", at positions 100 to 874 of the family's 1533-position model. Lineage: Bacteria; Pseudomonadati; Pseudomonadota; Betaproteobacteria; Nitrosomonadales; Thiobacillaceae. The record is from RNAcentral.